CUCUCGGCAAUGGAUAUCUCGGCUCUCGCAUCGAUGAAGAGCGCAGCGAAAUGCGAUACGUGGUGCGAAUUGCAUAAUCCCGCGAACCA
Molecule: ribosomal RNA, 89 nt
Filed under: Dracula dalstroemii
Lineage: Eukaryota; Viridiplantae; Streptophyta; Magnoliopsida; Asparagales; Orchidaceae
Description: 5.8S ribosomal RNA
Rfam family: 5.8S ribosomal RNA
About the family: 5.8S ribosomal RNA (5.8S rRNA) is a component of the large subunit of the eukaryotic ribosome.
Source: RNAcentral